This 466-nucleotide ribosomal RNA is filed under the name uncultured bacterium. RNAcentral describes it as "partial 16S ribosomal RNA". It matches the Rfam family "Bacterial small subunit ribosomal RNA", at positions 28 to 507 of the family's 1533-position model. The record is from RNAcentral.
GAUGAACGCUGGCGGCGUGCUUAACACAUGCAAGUCGAACGGAAAGGCUCCUGCUUGCAGGGGUACUCGAGUGGCGAACGGGUGAGUAACACGUGGGUGAUCUGCCCUGCACUUCGGGAUAAGCCUUGGAAACUGGGUCUAAUACCGGAUAGGACGAUGGUUUGGAUGCCAUUGUGGAAAGUUUUUUCGGUGUGGGAUGAGCUCGCGGCCUAUCAGCUUGUUGGUGGGGUAAUGGCCUACCAAGGCGUCGACGGGUAGCCGGCCUGGGAGGGUGUACGGCCACAUUGGGACUGAGAUACGGCCCAGACGCCUACGGGAGGCAGCAGUGGGGAAUAUUGCACAAUGGGCGCAAGCCUGAUGCAGCGACGCCGCGUGGGGGAUGACGGCCUUCGGGUUGUAAACUCCUUUCGCUAGGGACGAAGCGCAAGUGACGGUACCUGGAGAAGAAGCACCGGCUAACUACGUG